Molecule: ribosomal RNA, 500 nt
Filed under: uncultured eukaryote
Lineage: Eukaryota
Description: SSU rRNA
Rfam family: Eukaryotic small subunit ribosomal RNA
Source: RNAcentral
ACUGACUAGAUUCUCCAUGCAUGUCUCAGUAUAAGUCUUGAACGACGAAACUGCGAAUGGCUCAUUAAAACAGUUAUAGUUUAUUUGAUGGUCAAAUUUGUAUAUGGACAACUGUGGUAAUUCUAGAGCUAAUACAUGCGCAAAGACUCGACUUCGCGGAAGAGUUGUGUUUAUUAGAUACAGAACCAGUACCUUCGGGUUUUCUUGGUGACUCAUAAUAAAUGUACGGAGCUCACGGCUAUGCCGGAGCUGUGUCAUUCAAGUUUCUGACCUAUCAGCUUUCGACGGUAGGGUAUUGGCCUACCGUGGCAUUGACGGGUAACGGAGAAUUAGGGUUCGAUUCCGGAGAGGGAGCCCGAGAAACGGCUACCACAUCUAAGGAAGGCAGCAGGAGCGCAAAUUACCCAAUCCUGACACAGGGAGGUAGUGACAAGAAAUAACAAAGCAGGUCCUUACAGGAUUUUGCUAUUGGAAUGAGUAGAAUUUAAAUCUCUUUUCGA